GCGGGAGUAGUUCAAUGGUAGAACCUUAGCCUUCCAAGCUAAUGACACGGGUUCGAUUCCCGUCUCCCGCUCCA
This 74-nucleotide transfer RNA is filed under the name Ramlibacter sp. Leaf400. Its description in RNAcentral is "tRNA-Gly". It matches the Rfam family "tRNA". From Rfam's summary of the family: Transfer RNA (tRNA) molecules are approximately 80 nucleotides in length. Their secondary structure includes four short double-helical elements and three loops (D, anti-codon, and T loops). RNAcentral also lists the same sequence under 11 other names. The record is from RNAcentral. Lineage: Bacteria; Pseudomonadati; Pseudomonadota; Betaproteobacteria; Burkholderiales; Comamonadaceae.